CCCAACUGCGCCUGCGCUCCGGAUGGUGUCACCAUGUUCCCCUUCCCCUGCUGCACGUGGGCCUCGGUGUCCCCACUACUGUCUUCCCUCCCGGCUCGCGUGCGACCGCGAGUCCGCCCCCUCCGUUCCUCUGCAGGGAAGCGGAAGUGCCUCCACCGGAAGUGCCGGGACAGGACGGGAGGGUAGCGGCCCGAUCGGGAUCCAGCCAGCAUGGGGCGGCCGCGGUGAUGGAGGAGAGAAGGCGCUGGAGCCGGUAAUCAACUGGUAUUCUAGCAUGGACACUGUUGCUAGCCACAGUUGUCAUCUUCUCCAGCAGCUACAUGAACAGCGCAUUCAAGGCCUUCUCUGUGACUGCAUGUUGGUAGUAAAAGGCGUCUGCUUCAAAGCACAUAAAAAUGUAUUAGCUGCUUUCAGUCAGUAUUUCAGGACCCUAUUUCAGAAUUCACCAGGCCAGAAGAAUGAUGUCUUUCACUUGGACAUUAAAAAUGUAGGUGGCAUAGGCCAGAUCUUGGACUUCAUGUACACUUCACACCUUGAUCUUAGCCAGGACAAUGUACAAGCUAUGUUGGAUAUUGCACAAUGUCUGCAAGUGCAAAAUGUGCUGAAUAUUUGCCACACUUUUUUAAAAUCCUCCACAGCUGUAGAGCCUCCUGCCAGCAUGCCUUGCAAUAGUGUUUUCUCCUUGCAAAGUACUUUGGCUACAGAGACUAACUGUGUGAAUGAAAAUUAUGAUACUAACUUACUGCAUGAAUGCUCAUCAGAUGCACAAGCGAGUAAAGUGUUGGAUGACAACCAUUCCCACGGAUCACAAUCUAUUAAUCUUCAUACUUCCUCAGGUGAUGUACAGAAACAGACACAGGACUCCUUAGAUGGUAAUUGCACUGAACUCCCAUUUAAACAGCCAAAUUACUACUAUAAACUGCGCAACUUUUAUAGCAAGCAGUUCUACAAGCAGAAUGCAUGUUCCAACCAUGAGAGAAUAACAGAACAGUCCUUUGCUUUCAAUACAUCUACUGAAAUAAGUACGGUAGAGAGCAAUUCUUCUACUGUCAGUCAAUCUGAAUGUAUUUUGGAAUCCUCUGAUCACUUACCAUCCAACUUUCUGGUUCAGUCCUUGAAUGAUUCUGCUCCAGACCAAGAUUUGGAAAGCACAUCCUUGCAGCCUACCAAACAGAUGCGGUUGAAAAAGGCAAUACACCUUAAAAAACUGAAUUUUCUAAGAUCACAGAAGUCUGCAGAACAAUUGUCUGAACCUAAGAGAGAUAACAACAGUAUAACAAGGGUAAUUGAAUCUGUAAAUGAAAGUACCAUGGAGAUGACAAAUAUUAAUGCUGUUGAAGAAAAAGAAACUGAAGACCUUGUGAGUUCGGAGAGUUUUGAACAAACUGUUGAAAUGGAAAGAUCUCAAGGUCCUUCAGAACAAGAUGAGCAAUCACAGAUUCUUCAGUCACAGAGGCAAUAUACUUGUGAAUUAUGUGGAAAGGCUUUUAAACAUCCAAGCAAUUUGGAGCUCCAUAAAAGGUCUCAUACAGGUGAGAAACCUUUUGAAUGUAACAUUUGUGGGAAACACUUCUCACAGGCAGGUAACCUACAGACUCAUUUACGUCGGCACUCUGGUGAAAAACCAUAUAUUUGUGAAAUCUGUGGGAAAAGGUUUGCUGCUUCUGGUGAUGUACAGCGUCACAUUAUUAUUCAUUCUGGAGAAAAACCUCAUUUGUGUGAUAUUUGUGGCAGAGGGUUUAGUAACUUUAGUAACUUAAAGGAACACAAAAAGACCCAUACAGCAGAUAAAGUAUUCACCUGCGAUGAGUGUGGAAAGUCAUUUAACAUGCAACGGAAGUUGGUAAAGCACAGAAUUAGGCACACAGGAGAAAGACCAUACAGCUGUUCAGCAUGUGGAAAAUGUUUUGCAGGGUCUGGUGACCUACGUAGACAUGUGCGGACUCAUACAGGAGAAAAGCCCUAUACAUGUGAGACCUGUAACAAAUGCUUCACUCGUUCUGCUGUUCUGCGGCGGCACAAGAAAAUGCACUGCAAAUCCAGUGAUGAGGGACCAAAUACAUUAGAAGAAUUUACUCAGGCAAUUGAAACGUCUGAUCUUGAGAAAUCUCAGGGUUCCGACGCGUUUGCCCAAGAAAUGUCUGUUACUUUGUUACCAGUAUCUGUUAAAUUUCCUGUUCGUCCAGCUGGAAAUUCAGCUAAUGAAUUUGAUAGUUCUGCAGGAUCUUAUUGCAAGUUGCGGUCAAUGAUUCAACAUCAUGAGUCUACAAUCCAACAGAAAUUGAGUCUGGAUCCCGCUGAACUCCCAAAACCUCAGACGCAACAAACUCCUCAGCCACCUUUCACUUACACAGAGGUAGAUGUAUCACCUGCAGAAGAACCCCUACAGUCUGAUAAUAUUUCUAUGAUUCGUUCAUCAAUGACAACCCUGGAUGGUCAUUGUGGUGACCCCCUGGGCAAUCGUGCAUCUUCUGCUGCAUAUAGGAGUAAUGAAGGACCAUUCUUUUCCAGUAUGACCCUGUGGGGCUUAGCUAUGAAGACCUUGCAGAAUGAAAGCGAGUUGGAUCAAUGAGGGUUCAUUUUACCGAUUCACAACCUUUUAGGGGAAUUGUUUUAAUUUACCAGACUAAGACCACAUAUUCCAGCUAGUGCUCACUACCUCCCAUUUAACUCUGCAUGCUGUAUCCUGCAAUGGAACUUCAGUUGUUCCAAGGCCCAGUUUCAUUAUUAAAGUGCACAAAGAUGGCUCUCGCACUGUUGCUAAAGGUACUACUAAGACAAGCAGAGCUGCGCUACAGUACGUGACGCCCUGAAACCUACUCAUGGAUUCCCAGAUGACCCUGGACCCCUGGCUGAGAACCACUGUCUUAGAGGAAACAACAGCCUUGAGCACUGCUGCAUGCACAUCGAAUGAGCACCACAUUGCACAAAGGGCAAGCUGAAGACACACUCUUCCCCCUUUUCUGCAGUCCCCUCUGCGCCCUGUUCCUGCCCAGAUGCACAAAGACUCAAUUCAGACUUGCUACCAGGUUAUGAAUUAUGGAGUGCUGUUUGAGGCUCCUCAUAACCCACUGCAUAGUAGCAUAGCAUUUUCACUAAGGAAGUAGAGAAAAACAGCACUUUCUCAACACAGACACAAUUGGGCCUCGCAGUACAGAAGAUGGAGGAAGAGUCACAGUGGCACCAGGAAUUACUGUAACAGCACUGAGGCCCAAAAGCUAUACUUGCCGGUUUCAAGGGCCUUUGAGGAAGGGGUUGAGCAAUGGAGAGGGACAAGCUGGCGGAGGAAGGGGAGCAUUUUGCAUGCUUGGUGAGGGAAUCUGGGAAGCUAAGGGGUGAAGUAGGCACCUUCCUUUUCUUCUUUUCUGUGUGUAUGCUUCCCUGCCCCCCCCCCCACACACACUCAAGCUAUGGUGAUGCAUUCUUGUUUUGCAUUUAAAAACUCUUGUCACCCUAAAUGUGCCAUAACAAGUGCUAUUCAGUGUGUUUUAAGCAGGGUCUCUCGCUGGAAGAAUGCUUUGAAAGGGAUAGUGUUUCCUUGAAAUAUGGAAAGAAUCCUAUGAGACAAAUUAUGCAAUCCACAUGAAAGGAGCAUUUCUGAGUGUGAAUAGGAAAGGUGGUGCUACUGAAAUGAUCCUGCCUUCGGGGGAGAAAAAAGCCAAAUUAGAGAGCAGCAGCUGCAUCUUCGCUUUGAGGUGGAGACCGCACAACGAUUAUUCAGCUAGCUUUGUGGGGACAGUGUUUCUACGAGCAGAAAAUUCAUAUAGCUGCUGCUCACAUGCCUAGCCAUGCGCAUAAGCAUCAGGCACUGCUGCUAUGCUAUUAUCAUCAGUGAUUUGUUUGGGGGAGUUGUGCUUAGAGUGCAAAAGGUCAAGUACAAGAAUAUGUGUAGAUGAUGUUAGAUGAAGAGAAAGUUAGUGGUGGAAAGCCAGCCAAACUAAGUAAAGGGGGUCUAGAACUGGAUGUCUCCUAUAUCUCAGGUGAGUACAAGAAAUGUACCAGAACACCAUCUCAGGUGAGCCCUCUUCUUUCCCCACCCCCACCCUGCUGUUUUGUGUAAGCUCACCUAUAGGGGCCCAAUUUAACAGGUGAGAUCUGAGCAUGCUUAUUUGUCUGGGCCUUGCCAACAAGUUAGGUGGAGGAACGCCCCAUUCAUGGCUUGCUCAAGUGUCUGGACGCUUGGUGCGGUGAGGCAGAAAUGUAGGCAUCUUGGGAAGUUUUAAUGCAAAAAUUUAGACGUCAAAUGAAUUUAGGUGCCUAUAGAAUUCUGGGCCAAUUGAGUAGGGGUUUUGUGAAUACCGGUGGAGACUGAUUCUGGGAUUUAGAUACCUAAAGUGGAAAUUAGGUGCUUAAGUCUUUUUGUAAACCUAGAACCUAGGGCCAAAAUCACAAAGGUAUUUAGGCACCUAAAUGGAACUAGUAACCUAGGGGAUUUUCAAAGAGACCCAACUUCUUAGGUGCCCAGAUGUUUUUUAAAACCCGACUAGGCAUCUAUCAGCAUCUUUAGGCAUCUAAAUACCAUUACAAAUCUGGUCCUCAAUUUCCAGUGAAAUUGGGGUGUCUAAUUCUCUUAGGGUUUGUCUACUCACAAAAGUUAUAUUGGUUUAACUAAAACAGUCAUAGUUAUACCAGUACAACCCCUACUACGGAUGAAUUUAUAAUUCUAUAAAGGUGCUUUAUAUUAGCAUAGCUAUUCCCAUAUGGGAAAAGUAAAAAGCUAGACCAGUAUAAGGUGCCUUUAUACUGAUAUAACUGUGUCCACCCUAGGGGUUGUACUUGUAUAACUAUUCCAUUUUUUAAAAAUCAAUGAUGGUUAUAACCAGUACAAAAAUUGUAUGUAGAAUAGGCCAAAGUCUCCUUUGAAAAUCCCAGCCUGAAAGCAUCAUGGUGAGCCCACUGCUUUAAAAAGCUUUUGGGGGGGUCAUAUAGAACCUAUUUAGAUUGACGUCUUGAUAACUUUCUGCCAAAGGCAAAGAUUAGAGAUUGGAGAGAAGAUCUCCAAGAAAGUCAAGACUUUUAAAUCCAGUAUAUUGUGUUUUUUUAACAUCUUUCCAUUUGGAUCAAGACCAUUUAAUGACAUAGCAAUGGCCACACUGAAGAACAGUCAUCCAUGAACAAUGGCAGAAAAUAUCUUGUCCCUGCUGCUACUGAUCUACUGGCAAACUUUUAUACCAUUGAAAACUGGGUAUUGGUGGGUAGGUUGCGACAUUUGGCAGUAAUGAUCAAAAUAGCUCUUCAGUGGUUGAGCUCAUUCUUAUUACAAAAGGCCUCAAAGCUGGUGAUGGACACUUGCCAUGUCAUCACCUGAGUUCCCUUUGUGAGGUGCCACAAUUCCCCUGACCCCCAAUAUUCAACAUUUGGGCACACUCUUUAAGAAAGAUGUGAAUAGACUGGAAAGAGUUCAGAUGAGAGAGAGAAAAAUAUCAACAGUUUAGAAAACACGAUCUAUCAGGAAUGGUUCAAAUGACUGGGCUUAGUCUAGAGAAGGCUGAGGAAGGACCUGGUAACAGUCUUCAGGCAUGUUCAGGGCUAGUUUAAAGAGAAGGUUUCAAAGAACAGAUUAGACAGACCUGUCAGGGAUGGUCUAAGUAUACUUAAUCCUGUCUCAGUGCAGGGGGAUGAACUAAUGAUGUCUUGAAGUCCCUUCCAGCCCUAGUUUUUUUAUGAUUACAUAAUUUUAUAUAUGAGAAUACUAGGAAAUAUUCUAAAGGAUUGUAGAGGGCUGAGAUAUCACCAGUGAUACACUGCUUGUCUCUUUACCUGUUGAGCUGUCUCAGCUAUCUCAUUAACCUGUAGACUUUUUUGCUUGAGUAAGGGGCAACUGGCUCAAGUUCAAUCAGAAUUAAACUGAGGCAAUUUAGUGAAUUGAGCAAAAUGCCUAUAGGAAAUUGAGAGAUUUGUGCACCCUUCUUUUUGAGGUCCAAGGUCCAGAAUUAAGGAGCUUCAGCAUGGAAGUCCAUAUUGCACCAGUACUUCAGAUUAACUUUAAUCAUUUCCACAUACUCCAGAAGCUGUCCUUUUAUCUCUCUUUGUCCUCAAGACAAGCAUUCAGCAUUUUGCUAAUUUGCUCCUGCUUAGACUUCUCUGGAAUUCAAUGUUGCUUAUUGCAUAGGAUGUUGUGAGGAUUACUUAAUUCAUGUUUGUCUAGUGCUUUGAAUAUGGAAAGUGCUUUGCAAGUGUUCUCGGAAGCUGCAGAAUAUGGUUUUCCCCUUGUGAAGGAAGCAAAGGCAUUAAUAACAUCUGCUACCCUCAUUCUGUCUUCAGUCUAGCACUUAAGACAUCUUACUCCCCCUAUGUUCCUCUUAGGCAGUUGGAUGUCCUUGUUGUCAGUUCUGAUUCAGGAUAUUGAUUGAAGGGACUUCCUGAAUAUAUUUGGCAGAGUUAUUCUGAUGCAGUCUUUAAUUCUUGGUAUGAAGCCCUUCAAUCUGGGCCAGUUCAUUCUUGGUCAUGUCUCUUAUUUUUCACAAUCUUUUCUGUUUUGGAUAAUUCUCCUUCAAAACUCCAAAUCAUCAUAACCCACUUUGAUGUAUUUUUUAACUGGCCAGAUCAUGGGCCUUUUCAUUUUUAGCCAUUUUGAGCUAUUUUAUUUUGUUUUGUUUUUUUCUAAAAUGUCUAGUAUCUGAUGCCUCUGAUGGGACCUUUAUAAAAUAAUAUAAAAUAGGAACAUAUAAUAUAAAAAUUAGCAAUUAAAUAAAUUACCAUCAGUUAUGAAUAUUUUAUUGAAGACAAGGAGAAAAGAUUUUCAAAUAUUAUUCUCUCCAAGUAUUUUGCUCUCUGGCUGCGUUACAUGAGGCAGAAAUCUGAAUAUCAGUAGUUGUGUGCUAGUUGACAUCUGUGCUGUCUGGAUUCGGCUGGCCAUGCUUUUCAUUUUUUCAACUAAUAGAACAGGAGUUAUCCCUUAAGUGACAACAUCUUGUGGGUCUAACACUUACUUUCCUCCCUGAGUUGCUACUUAUACUACCUGCUGCAUUUUUUCAGUUAUGCCUCUUCAAAGGAUCUCCACUUGCAGGGACUGUCAGUGUAAAGGAACCAAUAUGGAUUACAAGGAGAGGAGAAACUCAGCACUUUAAGCCACAAUAGGUAUCUAAUCUUAUAAAGAUGUGUACAUAUGGUACAUUCAUCACUCUGGAUAAAGGUUUUUCAUAUGCAUUUUCCAUUAAAGCAGAUGACACCAAUAUAAACCCGUGUGCAUCCAGAGUGUAGAAACAAAAUAGUAUCCUGUAGGAAUAGCAGUACAUAUUAGGUAAAAUGCCCCUACUCCUACCAGAUUGUUCAUGAGGAUUAUAAAUAAAACAGCCUCACAUCAUUUCCAGUGGCAUCCUGACAGACAUCUCCUGACUCAAUUAAUUGCUGUUUUCUAGUUAUCUUUAUUUGCAAUCCUUUUUCAAUUUUCAGUCCACUGUAUUUAAAAUUUUGCAAAAAAGUUUAAUUGCAAUAUACACUGCUGCAUUCCAUUCAUCCAUUCUAUCUAGUAAUUCAGUCACAAGAAUCUAGUUAAUCUGGCAUGAUUUGUUUAGUAGACAAACAUAUUGUUCAUUAAUCAUAAUUCCAUUGAUUUUCAAUGAGAAUUAGAAGCCUAACUCACUUAGGUGCUUUUGUAAAUCUUACUAGACCCUUACUUGCAUCUGUAGCUCUAAAGUCCAGUCCACAAGAUAAACAUAAACAGAGACAGGUGUCUAGUGGGAUUUUCAAAAGGUCCUAGGGAGGUGCAGGGCCCAGGACAUUAGCAACUCUGCACCUGUCUGCCAGAGGGUGCUCCCCCUGGCUCUGCGCAGGCCCUGCCCCCACUCCACCCCUUCCCCCAAGGCACCAUGCCUACCCUGCUUCUUCCCAUUCCCCUGAGUGUGCCACAUCCUCGCUUCUCCCCCCUCCUCUCCAGCACCUCCUGACACCAGGAAACAUCUCAUUUGUGGCAGGCAGUACGCGCUGGGAGAGAGGACGAGAUGCUGAUUGGCAGGGCCCACUGACAGGCAGGAGGCACUGGGGGUAGAUUCUAGUAGGGGGCUCCACCUUGCCCCCCUACCCCCUGCUCACCAGCCCACCUCACCUCCCCAUCCAUGGGGCCCCUCAAAGCGCAGGGCCUGGGGUGGUUGCCCUGAUUCGCCAUACCCAAGAGACAGCUCUGGUUCUAGGCAGCCAACUCCCAGUGAUUUUCUAAUGAUUUCAUUGGUAGUCAGGUGCAUAAGCACUUCUGAAAAUCCCACUAGGUACCUAUAUCUUCAGGUGUAUAAAUAUCUUAAAAUCUGAACCCUUUUGAAAAUGAAAUUUAGGCUUCUUAGGCUCUGUCUGCACUAAAGACUUCUUCUACUAUAGAUGUGUUGCUCAAGGGUGUGAAGAGGUGUGAUCUCUGACCGACAUAGCUGUACUGGCAGAAGUCCCUAGUACAGAUACUAUUAUGCCCACAAAAUUGUGCUUUCAGUUA
Chelonoidis abingdonii (Abingdon island giant tortoise) is the source of this 8422-nucleotide RNA transcript. It is a transcript of the gene named zinc finger and BTB domain containing 49, with no coding region annotated. Lineage: Eukaryota; Metazoa; Chordata; Testudines; Testudinidae. The record is from RefSeq and is a predicted model, not a curated record.